RNAcentral lists this ribosomal RNA (254 nucleotides) under uncultured bacterium. RNAcentral describes it as "partial 16S ribosomal RNA". It matches the Rfam family "Bacterial small subunit ribosomal RNA", at positions 526 to 779 of the family's 1533-position model. The record is from RNAcentral.
CGGAGGGUCCGAGCGUUAAUCGGAAUUACUGGGCGUAAAGCGCACGCAGGCGGUUUGUUAAGCUAGAUGUGAAAGCCCCGGGCUCAACCUGGGAAUUGCAUUUAGAACUGGCAGGCUAGAGUCUUGGAGAGGGGAGUGGAAUUCCAGGUGUAGCGGUGAAAUGCGUAGAUAUCUGGAGGAACAUCAGUGGCGAAGGCGACUCCCUGGCCAAAGACUGACGCUCAUGUGCGAAAGUGUGGGUAGCGAACAGGAUU